AGGCCUCAGAUCCUCAUCAGGAAAAAAACUUAUCGUGUCCUGCUCCUCACACGACACGCGGCACGCCGGCGACGGCAAGGGCGCACCGAGAACGGCGGCGGCUCCAUCACCCUCGCCCGCGGCCGACGCCCCUCGCUCACUAUCCUCCUCCGCCUGUGAAAUUCCGGUUCCCUCCCCGUCCCCUGCUCCCCAUCGGCUACUGGCGUCCCUGCCCCGCAGGCCAUGGCCGCUGCUGUCCCCGUCUCCCUCUUGCCUACUGCGGUCGGGCAUCCUCCCGCAAGAAGAACACCUUUUUGCGCCGUGUCGUACAAAAGGAGAAGGACUGCGGUGACGCGGGUCAGCUGUGCUGCUGGCGACCAAGAAGAGGAAGUCGACGAUCUUGGAGUCAACGUUGCACUAUCCAUGCUAAAAUUCUACAAAAGAGAGAUAUCACCGUUACUACCUUCAAGUUGCCGUUAUGUACCAACAUGCAGUGAGUACUCUAUGCAUGCAUACAAAAGGUACGGUGUCGCGAAGGGUACGAUCUUGACAGCAUGGCGUCUGUGCCGUUGUAAUCCUCUUGGUGGACAGGGAUAUGAUCCUCCAAGGUGGUUUGGCGAGGAAGAGUUACCUGAGGAAUAAUGGCUGGUAAUUACUGGAGAAGCACAUGUGCCCAAUCGUGCUGUUGCAUACAGUUGUAUUACGUUUUAAGUAAAUAACUCUAUACAACAACUAAAAGAGGAGAAAACAAUGAAUAGUGUCAAGACCCAAGUGGCUUUUGUUGUUUCCCAAAACCUGCACAGAAGCUACCAAUAUUUUAUUUGCAUCGGGAUUUGGUCAGAAAAUUUUAUUAAAUAAAGAUUGGCCUAUUCCUAAACAUGAACACAAUACAAAAUUCAUGUGGACCCAGAUGAAAGGUGAGCAUUGGCAUAUUCCUGCAUGAAGACUAUUCAAAAUUCAUGUGGACCCAGAUGAAAGGUGAGCAUUGGCAUAUUCCUGCAUGAAGACAAUACAAAAUUUCUUCCUGUGGACCCCAGAUGAAAGAUGAGCAUUGGCAUAUUCCUGUACAUGAAGACAAUAGAUUUUUUUUUUCAAAACUACAUGUUGGUGGAAAUUUCAAUGUACAAUAUACAAAAAAUAUAAUUAAGGGGUACAAGCAUGAUUCUGCUCUUUCUUA
This is an RNA transcript of Brachypodium distachyon (stiff brome), 1156 nucleotides long. It is a transcript of the gene named UPF0161 protein At3g09310, with no coding region annotated. The record is from RefSeq and is a predicted model, not a curated record. NCBI's taxonomy places the organism in Eukaryota, Viridiplantae, Streptophyta, Magnoliopsida, Poales, Poaceae. The transcript has 6 exons.